AUGAACUGGUUUCACACCACCCAAGUGUGAGUUGGGCUGUAUCACACGAAUAUAUUGCCCUGAUGAAGUCAAACGCCUUUAAUUCUGCUGUUGUCGUCGGUAACUGUAAGCCAUGUAUAAAGCUUUUUUCAAUUAUAGUUUACCAUAAAGGGACCACAUUAAUAAAUUAUGAUCUUUUGCAAGAGGAAAGGGGGGGAUAGACAUUUUUUGGAAACUAGAAAGCUAACAUUAUGAAAAUAGAUAAAAAAAAACAAACACAGGCGCCGGAAAAUUAGAACGAAAAAAAAAAGCAAUUUCGUGUUUUUAAUUUUUGUUUUUGGUAUCUCAAAAAUAACGAAUGGACGC
RNAcentral lists this long non-coding RNA (345 nucleotides) under Mytilus galloprovincialis (Mediterranean mussel). The record is from RNAcentral. Lineage: Eukaryota; Metazoa; Mollusca; Bivalvia; Mytilida; Mytilidae.